UAUUGUUGUUCACGAUAAUGUUGUUCAUGAAACACGUGUGCCCACUGACUGAAUAUAAUGUUCCCUUCCCUCCAAUAAUAUUCCCAAAACGAUUAGCCUCAACUCCAAAAUAACUAUGCAUUAUGAAAGUAUUUGCGUAGCCUAUUCGCACAAUGCAUAGCUCAGACUGGAUAUCCAUUCAGCUGCAGCAUUUCUAACGUUGUAGAAUCAUUCACGUGUUUGUGCGAAUCUGAAAAAUGGGAAGUCAAUAUACAGAAUUUCCGGUGUGAAGAAAUCAACCACCACUAUGAUUACAGUGUUUUCAGCUUCAGGCACAAGCCGACAUGAGCUUUAUAAAAUCUUUUAAGUAGGCUAGUUGUCAUAAACAACUACAGGACGGGAACGCUGAAUUGUAACAAGGAUGUUAUAAGCACAUGUGAAAUGCUAAUUCGCUCAGGGAGAACGAGCAAUAUUUGUCACAUACGGAGGGGAGCAUCAGCAUCAUUGCUCACGCGGACACAUGCUUCUGCAUCGAGACGAGAGGCACCAGCACCAGGGUCUCUCUGACAAGAGACCGAAUCUGAGAUUCAUGGACCCUUCACGCAAAAUUCGCCAGGAGAAACAGAAAGGAAAUGCAACUGGUGGUGGAUCAGAAUAGACACCCUUAUCCUCGGUGUCAGUUGCCGCGUUCAUAUGCUAGUCGACUCUUAUUUUUUAAAAUUGAACUAGGCAAGUCAGUUAAGAACAAAUUAUUAUUUACAAUGGCGGCCUACUCCGGCCAAACCCGGACGACGCUGGGACCAUUGUGCGCCGCCCUAUGGGACUCCCAAUCACGGCCGGAUGUGAUACAGCCUGGAUUCGAACUAGGUACUAGUGACGCCUCUUGCACUGAGAUGCAGUGAUGCCCGGUAUAUGAUUGCGGCAAGUGUCCACACUGCUAAAAGAGGUUCAUCGAGCUGCGACAGCUCACUCAGCAGCUGAGUAAUAUUCACCCCAACGUUCUGGCCAAGCACCUUCAAAGAGGUCUGAUUCUCCCACAUCCAGAGCUCGCUGUCAUCAAUAAGCCAUAUGGAGCUUCUGUUCAAGGUAUUGGGUGUUGAGGCAAUGUAUUUACAUGCCUAUUACAUUAUGGUACAUAAGGCUUAUAUGGUCAAACACACAGUCAAGGAUUAUAUCAUGAAAGAGAUUGUUCAUUUGAAUGUCACUUGUAAAAAAUACAUCUUAAUACCCAGAGGUGUUUUCAAAAAUCACUGUGAUUUAAAUCCAAUAAUCUUCCCCCUAAAUGGGUCAAAGGAAUAUCAUGGACAUCUUCCAGUCCUUGCCAAGGUGAUGGAUGGCAUUGAGGGCUGAGCCCCACUCCCAGCUGAAAGUCCGCCUUGGAUUGGACAAGGAGACAACAGGGGCCCUCUUGCUGGCAAGGACUGAUGAAGCACCGGACUAUGUACAAAACCUCCACAAAAAAACACCAAGUGGAGAGGAAAUAUUGGUGUAUGGAUGUCUGUGUGUUUAGAGAUUUAGUUUAAGAUAAGGAUCCAGGCAGCUCAUCAUAUGGCAGAGUUUUUGUAAUGACCCUGCCGUUGACAACUAGCUCCCUAGUUUUCUUGGAGCAGCGGUGAUGUGUCUGGCCCUGGACCCAAGGGUUAUUGGGCUCGAUUCACACCUCAAAUCAAACUUUAUUGGUUGCAUAGACAUAGCAGAUGUUAUUGCGGGUGUAGUGAAAUGCUCGUGUUCCGAGCUCCGACAGUGCAGUAGUAUCUAACAAGCAGUGACGUAGCCUCUGAACCUCAUGCUACUUCCUGGUUACAUUACACUUUCAGUCAUCUUCCUUUUUCCCUAUUCCCCCAUGCAGCAUUGCUGCUGUGGCCUGUUCCCUAUGAGGGGAUGACUUGACAACCCUCAUAGAGAGAGAAUUCACCUGGGCUCAGGCUCAUUUCAAGAUAGGCCUGAGUCCUGUGUACAGAGGGAGUGACUAACGUGCAGGCCCAGGGGGCAGUGUCCCAGUACGUGUCCUGGACAGCAGCAAUGGCUGCAGCCUUGUGGAGCUCCAGCCCAUCACAGGGGUGAGGAUCCAUAUGGCAUACGUUCUGGGAUGUCAUAUUCUUGGGGACCACAAAUACUCCCACCUUAGAAACUGCUGGACGGUUUGUUACCGAGGCUGGGAUUGGAACAAAGCAAGGCACGUUGCCUUCUUCCCUAACCCUGCACACACAUCAGCUGACACUGCCAGUGAUAUCACUGUGUCCUGCCCUGCUGAAGUACUUCACCACCAGCACCCUGCGAUGACUGCAGAUCCCCAUUCCAAAUAAGAGGAUGAAUGAUGCAUCAGCGGCUCCUCUGCAGAGCAGACAGGAUACAGAAGACUCUUUUAAAAUCAGAAAUACGGAGCGGCAUCACUUCAAGUGACCCAUGACCUAAUGGUUGUCCCAAGUCCAAGAGCUAAGGCCUGACUGAAAUUCUUAAAAAGCCACACACUCUCAUUCACAGUACAAAGGCACGUUUUUUUUCUUCAGACUUUCUUAUUUAGCAUCCAACACCACUAGAAUAUCAAUACAUACAGGAGAUCAUAAAUGGCAAUAAAAAUACAUGUAAAAAAAGUGAGCAGAGUUCCCAUUAAAUGUCUGUUGGUGUGUAAUCCACUCUGCUCUUGGCUCCUGUCCUGUCUGGGACCUGAGAGCUUGGAGGACAAGAGGCACAGGAGAGUCCCUGUGGAGGCUAACAUGUUAUAGGGGGUACAUUUCCAUAUACAUACCCCUACGUAUUUAUUUGGACAGUGAAGCUAAAAUAUGUACAUUUGGCCCUAUACUCUAGCAUCUUGGAUGACAUCAAAUGUUAUGAGGCGACAGUACAGAAUGCCACCUUUUAUUUGAAGGUAUUUUCAUACUUGACUACAAACUUGUUGGAUGCAUUUGCAGUUUGGUUGUGUUUCAGAUUAUGAUUUGCCCAAUAGGAAUGGUGAAUAAUGUAUUGUGUCACUUGAGUCACCUUUUAUUGUUAAGUAAGAAUAAAAUAUGUUUCUGAACAGUACAUUGUGGAUGCUACCAAGAUUAUGGAUAAUCAUGAACGAAUCCUGAAUAAUGAGUGAACGAUGCUCCUCAACAACAACAAAAAUGCUAACCUCUGUCAUGGUGAGAGGUUCAAAUGUCUUGGGGGUAUGAUCGUUGUACCUUCUCACUCAUUAUCCACAAUUCAUUCAUGAUUAUCCAUAAUCAUGGUAGCAGCCACAUUAAUGUAGAAGUGUUCAGAAACAUAAGCUUAUUUACAAUAAAAGUGACUCCAAAAUGUCACAAUACAUUUACCAUUCAUUUCUAUUGCGAACAACAAUCUGAAAACGCAGCCAAAACAAACCGCAAAAGCAUCCAAGAAGUUUGUAGUCACUUGAUGUAGUCAUUGCAUGCUAGGAAUGUGACCAAAUACUACAAUUUUGAAUACUUUAAUACUACAAGUGAAUUUGUCAAAAUACUUCUGACACCUUCAAAAAUGGGGGGACUAGAUAGUGCUUUCAUUUCUAAACAGUAAAACAUAUGAAAAUACAAUCAAAUGAAACAUUUCAUCUCAAAUCCAAAAUGCUGGAAUACAGAGCCAAAUUAAUCAUUUUUUGGUUUAUCAUUAUCCAACUAAAUACAUAGGGAAGUGUACAGCACCUUCAGAAAGUAUUCACACCCCUUGACUUUUUCCACAUUGUAACACAAUCUGAAUUUAAAAUUAUUACAUUGAGAUUUGUCACUGGCCUACACACAAUUUCAAAGUGGAAUUAUGUUUUUAUAAACUUUUACAAAUUUAUGAAAAUCAGAAAUAUCUUGAGUCAAUAAGCAUUCAACCCAUUUGUUAUGGCUUACCAAGAAGACAGUGAUGGUUCCCGAAUGUCCGAGUUACAGUUUAGAUUUAAAUCUACUUGAAAAUCUAUGGCAAGACCUGAAAAUGUCUGUCCAGCAAUUUGACAGAGCUGGAAUAAUUUUGAAAAGUAUAAUGGACAAAUGUUGCACAAUCCAGGUGUGGAAAGCUCUUAAAGACUUGAAGCCAAAUUAUGCUUGACAACAGCUCAGCGAAGCGCAAAAAAUAUGCUUGCUCUGACUUCUGCGGAGGCCGCGUCGCAGUAAAUGCUGUAUGGCUUGACCAUGCAGCGCCUUUUACCCAGAAAGACUCUCAGCUGUAAUAGCUGUCAAAGGUGCCUAGACAAAGUAUUGACUCAGGUUUGAAUACUUAUGUAAACGAGAUAUUUCUGCAUUUCAUUUUCAAUAAAAUGUGCAAACAUUUCUAAAACAUG
Salvelinus fontinalis (brook trout) is the source of this 4243-nucleotide long non-coding RNA. RefSeq lists it as uncharacterized. The transcript has 4 exons. NCBI's taxonomy places the organism in Eukaryota, Metazoa, Chordata, Actinopteri, Salmoniformes, Salmonidae. The record is from RefSeq and is a predicted model, not a curated record.